GCAUAAGCUUUUAAAAAUCUUGGAAGAGUAUCUUAAUUACAGAGAAUAUAAUUAUUGUAAAAUAUAUGAAGGUACACGCCUAGAAGAUCGUGAUAAAAGUCAUUGAAGCCUUCAACAAGGAAGACAAGUUUGUUUUCUUACUUUCAACUGGGGCAUGUGGCGGUGGUAUCAACUUUCCCACUGCUGAUGUUGUAAUAUUUUACGACAGCGAUUGGAUUCCACAUGCUGAUCUGCAAGCUCUAGACCGUGUUACUGGAAUAGGUCAAAAUAAACAAGUUCAAGUUUUUCGCUUUUGCACUAAGCACACCGUAGAGGAAAAAGUGUUUCAAGAAGGGUAUAAAAAGCUAGCAUUGUAUCCUUUAAUUUUUAGGCAAGGACGAUUCGCACACGGAGAAACUGUCAAUAAGGAUGACCUUCCAAAAAUGACAUUGUUGGGUGCUAGAAAGGUUUUCAGUUCUGAAGACAUCACAGUAACGGAUAAGGAUAUUGAAGAUAUUCUAGAUAAAAGAGAGAAGACAACAACACAACCUAAAGCAAAAAUACAAAAAAUCACUAAGGAUAGCAUUAAAUUUAGUUGGAACAAGCAUAUGUGCCUGUCCCUGUUUCUCUAUAUACCUGCAGCAGCCCUGUCUUUUGUCCACCUACCUAACACCUUCUUCU
Molecule: non-coding RNA, 660 nt
Organism: Lolium perenne
Lineage: Eukaryota; Viridiplantae; Streptophyta; Magnoliopsida; Poales; Poaceae
Source: RefSeq, a predicted model, not a curated record